GACGAACGCUGGCGGCGUGCUUAACACAUGCCAGUCGAACGGAAAGGCCCUGCUUUUGUGGGGUGCUCGAGUGGCGAACGGGUGAGUAACACGUGAGUAACCUGCCCUUGACUUUGGGAUAACUCAGGAAACUGGGGCUAAUACCGGAUAGGAGCUCCUGCUGCAUGGUGGGGGUUGGAAAGUUUCGGCGGUUGGGGAUGGACUCGCGGCUUAUCAGCUUGUUGGUGGGGUAGUGGCUUACCAAGGCUUUGACGGGUAGCCGGCCUGAGAGGGUGACCGGCCACAUUGGGACUGAGAUACGGCCCAGACUCCUACGGGAGGCAGCAGUGGGGAAUAUUGCACAAUGGGCGGAAGCCUGAUGCAGCAACGCCGCGUGCGGGAUGACGGCCUUCGGGUUGUAAACCGCUUUCGCCUGUGACGAAGCGUGAGUGACGGUAAUGGGUAAAGAAGCACCGGCUAACUACGUG
Molecule: ribosomal RNA, 467 nt
Filed under: uncultured bacterium
Lineage: Bacteria
Description: partial 16S ribosomal RNA
Rfam family: Bacterial small subunit ribosomal RNA
Source: RNAcentral